GACGAACGCUGGCGGCGUGCCUAAUACAUGCAAGUUGAGCGCUGAAGGCUGGUACUCGUACCAACUGGAUGAGCAGCGAACGGGUGAGUAACGCGUGGGGAAUCUGCCUUUGAGCGGGGGACAACAUUUGGAAACGAUUGUUAAUACCGCAUAAAAACUCUAAACACAAGUUUUAAGUUUGAAAGAUGCAAUUGCAUCACUCAAAGAUGAUCUCGCGUUGUAUUAGCUAGUUGGUGAGGUAAAGGCUCACCAAGGCGAUGAUACGUAGCCGACCUGAGAGGGUGAGCGGCCACAUUGAGACUGGGACACGGCCCAAACUCCUACGGGAGGCAGCAGUAGGGAAUCUUCGGCAAUGGACGAGAGUCUGACCGAGCAACGCGGCGUGAGUGAAGAAGGUUUUCGGAUCGUAAAACACUGUUGGUAGGGAAGAACGUUGGUGAGGGUGGAAAGCUCAUCAAGUGACGGUAACUACCCAGAAAGGGACGGCUAACUACGUG
Molecule: ribosomal RNA, 497 nt
Filed under: uncultured bacterium
Lineage: Bacteria
Description: partial 16S ribosomal RNA
Rfam family: Bacterial small subunit ribosomal RNA
Source: RNAcentral